CUCCAGGAAUCCCUUCAGAGCACUUUAUUUUCAGGCGAGCACCGGGCGCUCUACAGACCUAGACCUGGGCUGUGGAAAGGGAAGAGCAGAGCGGAUGGGUUACGCAGAGGAUGCUCAGGCUGAGCCUCGGGGUCUGGCGCUCCUGGACUCUGCUGAGGGCUGACAGGGAAGGACAGGUGCCUUCCUCUGAGCCCGGCUUUGAACAGAUCUGGUACCAAGGCGAGAGGAACAGCUUGAUGACUCUAAUUUCAAAAAGGGACAGUGAGAAACUCGGGUGCUUUGGUGAAAAGGGCUCAUUUGUGGAGUUACUUUGCAAAAUCACAUGGUUCGUAAACUCCAGGUCGGAAGCUCAGCUGAGGAUAGUUUGCAGUGCAUGAACUUCCUCCCUCCACUGCGGCAGGUAAACAUUUUAACUUCAAAUCUCUUCACAUGGGAAGGAAACUCCCAUCCAUGAAGAAAUUUUAUCCAUGGGGUAGAAGACAGUUUCAUGGAAUUCUCAUCAUUUGCAUAGCUUUAAAAAAAAACACCAGAAAAGAAUUAAGUCUCGCUGUCACAGAAGACUCUAAAUGGAGCUUUUAUUCGAAGAAUAUAUUAAGAGGUAGGAUGGUUGCAUAAAGGUUGCAAUAGGAUUGGAAUUUCUAAACUAUUGCUUUCUCGCGUACUGGGUCUGGACAAGCCAGGCAGUGCUUUAGUGCCUCUGUGCCCUUGCCUAUGAGAUAUUAUUGAAACACUUUCACUAUGACAGUGGACAAGAAUAUAUAAUGGAGGACUAUUGUAAACUCACAUUGUAGAUUAUUAUUGGAGCGCUGAUAAAGCCUACGAGUUAGUGGUAGGGUAAAAGAAUACUAGAAAAGAGUUCCUGGAAUACAAAGUAAAAACUACAGAUUCUCUGAGGAGCAGGACAACAGUGUGGUAAGAACGAGGAACCAGGGGGCAGUACAGGAUCUGCUCUCCAAUCCUAUUGUUCUGAUCUCAUCUUCCCACCUCAUUCUAUUCCAGAUUCAUUGGCCUCCUUGCUGUUUCUAGAAUAUACUAAUGAUGCUUGGAAUAACAUUCCAUAUACCAGCAUGCCUUCCUGCCUUCAGAUGUCUGCUCAAAUGUGACUUCAUUGCAGAGGCUUGCCCCUGUGAUCCUGCAAAAAAUGCCUCUCACUCACUCACAUCAACUUUCAUCUCUUUAACUGUUUUAUUUUAUUUUACUACCACAUGACAUUUGCUUCCCAUGAAAACAGAAGCCUCAUGAGAGCAGGAACUUUGUUUAUUGCUGUAGUACCAGAAUCUAUAGUGUAUGGAUGGAAAUGAUUGAAUAAACUGGAAUAGGGACAGAAUACCUGGGUUCCAGGCCUUCCUCACUGUGUUAACAUGGACAAGACAGGACAAGAGAUAGUAUAUAUUUUUUUUGCUUAGUAGUUGUAAAGAUUAAGGGAAGAAGGAAGAAACAUUUAGGAACACCUACUACUAAGCAAAGUAAUUUUCAUUAAGUUUCAUAUCAAUCUGAUAAAUAUUAGUACUCCCAUUUUACAGAUUAACUGCAUCUAAGAGAGUUUGUGACUUCUGUAAAAUCUAGUGCUAUUAAAGUGUGCAAAAUAAAGAUUAAAUAUAUCACAUGUAAAUGCAAGCUAUUUUUAUAAUCAAACUAGUUACACUUUAUCGUUUUUCCUUUUUGUGGAAAAGAGGGUCUGCUAUAUUGCCCAGGCAGGCCUUGAGCUCCUGAGCUCCAGCUAUCCUCCCACCUCUGUCUCCCUAAGUGCUGGGAUUAUGGGCAUGAGCCACCACAUCUGACUGAUCAAAUUAGUAAUGAAAUUAAUAAAUAACUACUUUUAAUAAACCAUCUAUAAUUUACUAGAUAAAAAUUGUAUAUAGAUAGGCCAGUUUCUUCAUUUUUAUAACUUUAGGCAUGGAAUAAGACAAG
Molecule: long non-coding RNA, 1911 nt
Organism: Macaca mulatta (Rhesus monkey)
Lineage: Eukaryota; Metazoa; Chordata; Mammalia; Primates; Cercopithecidae
Source: Ensembl